RNAcentral lists this transfer RNA (92 nucleotides) under Sporisorium scitamineum. Its description in RNAcentral is "transfer RNA-Ala(AGC)". It matches the Rfam family "tRNA". From Rfam's summary of the family: Transfer RNA (tRNA) molecules are approximately 80 nucleotides in length. Their secondary structure includes four short double-helical elements and three loops (D, anti-codon, and T loops). Further hydrogen bonds mediate the characteristic L-shaped molecular structure. tRNAs have two regions of fundamental functional importance: the anti-codon, which is responsible for specific mRNA codon recognition, and the 3' end, to which the tRNAs corresponding amino acid is attached (by aminoacyl-tRNA synthetases). tRNAs cope with the degeneracy of the genetic code in two manners: having more than one tRNA (with a specific anti-codon) for a particular amino acid; and 'wobble' base-pairing, i.e. permitting non-standard base-pairing at the 3rd anti-codon position. Lineage: Eukaryota; Fungi; Basidiomycota; Ustilaginomycetes; Ustilaginales; Ustilaginaceae. The record is from RNAcentral.
GGGGGUUUAGCUCAGUUGGUAGAGCGUUCGCUUAGCAUUUUCGGAGGUGUCUAGUUUGCGAAAGGUCGCGUGUUCGAAUCAUGCAGUCUCCA